GACGAACGCUGGCGGCGUGCUUAACACAUGCAAGUCGAACGAAGAGCGAUGGAAGCUUGCUUCUAUCAGUCUUAGUGGCGAACGGGUGAGUCACGCGUAAUCAACCUGCCCUUCAGAGGGGGCCAACAGUUGGAAACGACUGCUCAUACCGCAUACGCUCUAAUCACGGCAUCGCGGAUAGAUGAAAGGUGGCCUCUACAUGUAAGCUAUCAUUGACGGAGGGGAUUGCGGCUGGUUAACUAGUUGGGGGGGUAACGGCCCUACCAGGCGAAGGUCAGGAGCCGGUCUGGAGAGAUGGACCGCCAAAAUGGGAACUGGAAAAGGCCCAGACCUCCACGGGGAGCAGCAGUGGGGGAACUUCCGCAAUGGACGGAAGGCUGACGGAGCAAAGCCGCGUGGGGGGUGACAGGCUUCGGGUUGGUAAAGUCCGUUAAUCGGGACGAAAGGCCUUCGUGCGAAUAGUGAGAAGGAUUGACGGUACCGGAAUAGAAAGCAACGGCUAACUACGUG
This 510-nucleotide ribosomal RNA is filed under the name uncultured bacterium. RNAcentral describes it as "partial 16S ribosomal RNA". It matches the Rfam family "Bacterial small subunit ribosomal RNA", at positions 28 to 507 of the family's 1533-position model. The record is from RNAcentral.